UUCGAUCUCAAAUCAGGUAGGACUACCCGCUGAACUUAAGCAUAUCAAUAAGCGGAGGAAAAGAAACUAACAAGGAUUCCCCUAGUAACUGCGAGUGAAGCGGGAAGAGCUCAAAUUUAAAAUCUGGCGUGCCUCUGGUCGUCCGAGUUGUAGUCUGGAGAAGUGUUUUCCGUGUUGGACCGUGUACAAGUCCCUUGGAACAGGGCGUCGUAGAGGGUGAGAAUCCCGUCUUUGACACGGACUGCCAAUGCUUUGUGAUGCACUUUCAAAGAGUCGAGUUGUUUGGGAAUGCAGCUCAAAAUGGGUGGUAAAUUCCAUCUAAAGCUAAAUAUAGGCGAGAGACCGAUAGCGAACAAGUACCGUGAGGGAAAGAUGAAAAG
RNAcentral lists this ribosomal RNA (380 nucleotides) under uncultured Thelephoraceae. Its description in RNAcentral is "eukaryotic LSU rRNA". It matches the Rfam family "Eukaryotic large subunit ribosomal RNA", at positions 1 to 371 of the family's 3401-position model. Lineage: Eukaryota; Fungi; Basidiomycota; Agaricomycetes; Thelephorales; Thelephoraceae. The record is from RNAcentral.